RNAcentral lists this ribosomal RNA (590 nucleotides) under uncultured Polaromonas sp. RNAcentral's name for it is "bacterial SSU rRNA". It matches the Rfam family "Bacterial small subunit ribosomal RNA", at positions 333 to 916 of the family's 1533-position model. The record is from RNAcentral. Lineage: Bacteria; Pseudomonadati; Pseudomonadota; Betaproteobacteria; Burkholderiales; Comamonadaceae.
UUACUCCUACGGGAGGCAGCAGUGGGGAAUUUUGGACAAUGGGCGAAAGCCUGAUCCAGCAAUGCCGCGUGCAGGAAGAAGGCCUUCGGGUUGUAAACUGCUUUUGUACGGAACGAAAAGGUCUGCCCUAAUACGGCGGGCCCAUGACGGUACCGUAAGAAUAAGCACCGGCUAACUACGUGCCAGCAGCCGCGGUAAUACGUAGGGUGCGAGCGUUAAUCGGAAUUACUGGGCGUAAAGCGUGCGCAGGCGGUUAUGUAAGACAGUUGUGAAAUCCCCGGGCUCAACCUGGGAAUUGCAUCUGUGACUGCAUAGCUAGAGUACGGUAGAGGGGGAUGGAAUUCCGCGUGUAGCAGUGAAAUGCGUAGAUAUGCGGAGGAACACCGAUGGCGAAGGCAAUCCCCUGGACCUGUACUGACGCUCAUGCACGAAAGCGUGGGGAGCAAACAGGAUUAGAUACCCUGGUAGUCCACGCCCUAAACGAUGUCAACUGGUUGUUGGGUGCAUUAGUACUCAGUAACGAAGCUAACGCGUGAAGUUGACCGCCUGGGGAGUACGGCCGCAAGGUUGAAACUCAAAUGAAUUGACGG